Molecule: ribosomal RNA, 464 nt
Filed under: Vreelandella stevensii
Lineage: Bacteria; Pseudomonadati; Pseudomonadota; Gammaproteobacteria; Oceanospirillales; Halomonadaceae
Description: partial 16S ribosomal RNA
Rfam family: Bacterial small subunit ribosomal RNA
Source: RNAcentral
CCUAGGGACUCUGCAGUGGGGAAUAUUGGACAAUGGGCGAAAGCCUGAUCCAGCCAUGCCGCGUGUGUGAAGAAGGCCUUCGGGUUGUAAAGCACUUUCAGUGGGGAAGAAAGCCUUGGGGCUAAUACCCUCGAGGAAGGACAUCACCCACAGAAGAAGCACCGGCUAACUCCGUGCCAGCAGCCGCGGUAAUACGGAGGGUGCGAGCGUUAAUCGGAAUUACUGGGCGUAAAGCGCGCGUAGGCGGUCUGAUAAGCCGGUUGUGAAAGCCCCGGGCUCAACCUGGGAACGGCAUCCGGAACUGUCAGGCUAGAGUGCAGGAGAGGAAGGUAGAAUUCCCGGUGUAGCGGUGAAAUGCGUAGAGAUCGGGAGGAAUACCAGUGGCGAAGGCGGCCUUCUGGACUGACACUGACGCUGAGGUGCGAAAGCGUGGGUAGCAAACAGGAUUAGAUACCCCGGUAGUC